UACGUAGGGUGCAAGCGUUAAUCGGAAUUACUGGGCGUAAAGCGUGCGCAGGCGGUUUUGUAAGACAGGUGUGAAAUCCCCGGGCUUAACCUGGGAACUGCAUUUGUGACUGCAAGGCUGGAGUGCGGCAGAGGGGGAUGGAAUUCCGCGUGUAGCAGUGAAAUGCGUAGAUAUGCGGAGGAACACCGAUGGCGAAGGCAAUCCCCUGGGCCUGCACUGACGCUCAUGCACGAAAGCGUGGGGAGCAAACAGG
RNAcentral lists this ribosomal RNA (253 nucleotides) under uncultured bacterium. Its description in RNAcentral is "partial 16S ribosomal RNA". It matches the Rfam family "Bacterial small subunit ribosomal RNA", at positions 524 to 776 of the family's 1533-position model. The record is from RNAcentral.